This is a non-coding RNA of Pocillopora verrucosa, 969 nucleotides long. The record is from RefSeq and is a predicted model, not a curated record. NCBI's taxonomy places the organism in Eukaryota, Metazoa, Cnidaria, Anthozoa, Scleractinia, Pocilloporidae.
CAAAAUUAAUGUAAUGUAAUGCUAUAUUGAUUGAUUAAUUCUGUGCAUAUAUGUUAUUCAGCUCUGUCCUGGUAGUAUCACUGCCAAAUACCACUACUAGUCAUGCUGUUAACUAAAAAAUUUCAAUGUCUUGCCUUUUUUUCACCAAUAUUGUUAUUUUGUCUUCCAAGUAUAGUUUUACUUCUAAGGGUAGUAAGAAGUUCAGAUAAAAUAAAUAGAGGGGGCCAUUUUCAUAUUAUGAUGAAAAAGUGGUACACUGUGUAUAAAUUGUCAACAGUCAGAAGGAUUGCCACUCCAAGAAUAAUUUUUAUUUUACAGGCAGGUACAUAGGGAAGAAUAAAGACAAGUCUCUAACAAUGAGAAUUUUGGAUAAGAUUUGUAUGUUCAUAUGUAGAGCUUUGACCUUGAGGUGACUGUGUGGCUGAAAGCUCCUUGAGUUACAGUUUGUUGCUGAACAAAUUACCUCCUUACAUUUCCUUGACAGUCUCAACUCCUCACGGUCCUUCUGACGCAAACAAAGGAAGCCACGCCCAAGUCACAUUAAGACUACAACUUCACAUAACAAGGUCGUAUAUUUCUUUCAAGUGCAAGUCACAAACAGAUUGACAAGAAGAAAAGCAAGAGUCCAGAGAAAAAUGUCAACCUUCAGAAAACACAAGUUGAGGUCGAUACGCCAUCUUCCCCGUCCACACACUCCAUCGGACAAGAAGUUAAAGCUGUGUACCUUGUGGUAACAACAGCUUGUAAUACGCAUGUGUAUUAAGACAGACAUUUGGUUUGACAAAACGCAUGCCUUUUAAAUAAAUGUUUGUACCACAAGGUAGACAUCUUUUGGAAACAAUUAAACAAAAGUUUCUGCCGGAGGUGGGCGUGGCGGGGGAGGUCGGAUGGGUGAAAAAAGAGUAUAUCAAUAUUCUGUAAUAUUACUGUAUUAUAAGAUUUCAAAAAAAAGAUUGUAAUAUUCCUAUA